Molecule: ribosomal RNA, 470 nt
Filed under: uncultured bacterium
Lineage: Bacteria
Description: partial 16S ribosomal RNA
Rfam family: Bacterial small subunit ribosomal RNA
Source: RNAcentral
GACGAACGCUGGCGGCGUGCUUAACACAUGCAAGUCGAACGGUGAACGAGGGAGCUUGCUCCCUCCGGGUCAGUGGCGAACGGGUGAGUAACACGUGAGCACUCUGCCCCGAACUCUGGGAUAAUCGUUGGAAACGACGUCUAAUACCGGAUACGACGCGGGAGGGCAUCCUCUCCGCGUGGAAAUAACUUCGGUGCGGGAUGGACUCGGGGCCUAUACGCUUGUUGGGGGGGGAACGGCUCACCAAGGCUGCGACGGGUAGCCGGCCUGAGAGGGUGACCGGCCAAAAUGGGGCUGAGAAACGGCCCAGACUCCUACGGGGGGGAGGAGGGGGGAAAAUUGCACAAUGGGCGGAAGCCUGAAGCAGCAACGCCGCGGGGGGGAAGACGGCCCUCGGGUUGUAAACCCCUUUUGCCUGGGAAGAAGCGGAAGGGACGGUAACGGGUAAAAAAGCACCGGCUAACUACGUG